GACACUGGUGAGCUGAUCUUUUCACCUGGGAUCCACCAUGAAAAGGUGUCUGAUGAUUAAGGAAGACUUGGAUUUUCACUGCUCAAAAAGUUAAAAGAUGUAGUAAGAGCUACUAUCCUAAUAACAGCAAGUAUUAGAAUCUCUUGUACCUGCCCCACCUCUGUACCCAUUAUGAGAUGUAACAAAACCUGAGUCUGAGUCAUUAGUCUCCUGAGGAGCUGGAAUUUAAUCACCUGGAUGCUUAACAGUCUUAUGUGGGAUCAUCAAAUGGCUAAGGAUCUGACUUCAGCUGUUCAGAGAUAAACUUCAGGUGUGGAGAUAUUUGAUUAACUGGUUAGUCCUGAAAAGUGGAAGGAAGAAGGCUACACCAAGUUCGAAUGACUUUCAGUCUUUGUGUUGGGUUGUUUACAUCUUUACAAGGUGCUAAUUGUCUCUUACCUGUGUGUAGUUAAGGCAGAUGAUUGGCAUCUAUUUCAGUCUCUUGCAAGUGUGUCUGCAGACGCAAGAUCUAAGCAAGCUGCAUAUAGUUAGGUCCUGGUUAGCACUUCUUUUCUUAAAUCACAUUAGUUUAAGACUGAGUAACUUCUCCUUGAAAACAGAACCUUUUAGCCUUAAAUAUGAAAUGGAAAUGUUGAAAGUUUUAAAAAAACUGUAUUUUUGACUUUUCAGUGGAAAACUAAUUGAUGUUGAACCAAUGCAUGUGUUCUCACUAAUUUCUCUGAAAAGAAGCUGCUGCAGGUUUAAUACUAGAUAAAUAAUGUAUACCUGCAAUAAACUCUAGUGGAUGCAAAGCACUCUGUAACUGUGUGCUGUCGAAUUGUUCACCCAUACCUAUUCAUGUUAACAUGUCUAAUUCAUGAUAAAAUAUAGACGUACUCAACUGUGUGUGAUUAUGUCAUGUGGUUAGUAGGAGCCAUGUUGCCAUGAGCAGUGCUGCUCAGGAGGGCAGUAGAGCAAUAGCUGCUACUGUUGAAUCUAAUUUCUUCUAGAAUAAAGAGUGUUUUAAUCAGCAGUGAUAACUGGAUAGGCACCAUGUUGUAAGUGGUGUACAAUACUGAAAUGGAUAUGACAACUACGGCCAAAGUGGUGAUCAGUACUUACCCUUACUGAGGGUUUGGAAGAUUUUUGGGGAAAAGAGGGGGUUUACGCAAUGCAUAGACUUACGAACUGUUUUAUAAUUAGAGAAGUUGGAAAUGCUGAAAUAAAUUUAGCACAUACCCUAUUUUUUUUCUGUUUUAGUUUCCCCAUUUAAAUUGAAGUUUUAAUCUGCUUCUUUAACACAAACACUGAACCACAUACUUGAGACAGACAAAGAUAAGGAUUACGUAGGAGACAACAAUCAUUGCUUGUUAAUUAAUUUGGUGUCAGUAAAUGUCAUCUUCCAAAACAUGAUUUCUCAAAUUGUUCAGUUUUUAGAAGUGGAAUAGCUUUAUAUUUGUAUAAAGGUUAAAACUCUGAGAGCUAUUAUUCAUGCUGAAUAGGGGAUGUUGUAUUAGACAGAAUUUUGUUAAACGCAGAAGUUUAAAUAAAGCUUGUUUACAGAGGUAAAA
Molecule: long non-coding RNA, 1550 nt
Organism: Pezoporus occidentalis (night parrot)
Lineage: Eukaryota; Metazoa; Chordata; Aves; Psittaciformes; Psittacidae
Exons: 2
Source: RefSeq, a predicted model, not a curated record